This is a long non-coding RNA of Onychostoma macrolepis, 1297 nucleotides long. RefSeq lists it as uncharacterized. The record is from RefSeq and is a predicted model, not a curated record. The transcript is spliced from 6 exons. Lineage: Eukaryota; Metazoa; Chordata; Actinopteri; Cypriniformes; Cyprinidae.
CCUCUGGCAUGGGUACCUCCGUCUCCUUCAGUUGCAGGUCUGCCAUUGGACGAGGCCGAGGACUGAGAGGAAUCUCUGGCUCCUCCUCCUCAUCGUCACCUAGGCAACAAGCCAAUCAAAGCAUCAGACUGACCUAACGUGACAGGUGGUUUUGACCUUGGCUGUGGUGGGAAUCCCGUCAAUCUUGGCUCUCUGCUCGGCUAGUUUCUUUGCCAGCAUGGCCUUUUCUUCCUCGGCCUUAUCAGACUCUCCGCCUCAGCCAGGUUAUCCACCGCAAUUGCCAGGAAGACGUUCAAGAGGAUGUCUGCAGUUUACCGCUCAGGAAAAUCAUAUUCUUUAUCCAUAUCACAGGCCAUUUCUACAACUCGCACAUUUGUGUUGCAUGAAGGAUACAGUUUCCACAGAUGAACAGGAUGAUGAAGUAAAUGCUGACCAGGAUUCCAGGCAUGGCAGGACCUCCGUGAGCCAUGAUGCCAUCAUACAUGACGUAGUUCCAGCCUUCACCUGUCAGGAUCUAAAACAGAGACACUGUUCAGGCACUGUGAAUCGAAACAUCGUGCUCAUCAUAUGAAUGAAAAACUCACCUGGAAAACCGUGAUCAGAGCCUGAGGAAAAUUGUCAAAGUUGCUUCGUCUCACGUGCUCAUCUGGAAAAUUAAACUUCCCUCCGAAAACCUGCAUACCGAGCAGGGAGAAGAUGACGAUGAAGAGGAAGAGGAGCAGCAGGAGCGAGGCAAUGGAUCGCACAGAGUUCAAGAGAGACGCCACAAGAUUGUUGAGUGAUGUCCAGUACCUGAAAAUCAUGCACAAUUCCAGUAAAUUCUGAUGCAGACGUGCAAGCUUCGUUCUUCGCGGUGGUGCCAAGAACAGUGUUGGUUAUAAUCACGUACCGGGUUACUUUGAAGAGGCGCAGCAGCCGAAUACAACGCAGUAUGGAGAUCCCCAUGACGGACAUAAUAUCCAUGCGUACGAGAAUGAUCUCAAAGAUUCCCACAGACACCACAAAGCAGUCAAAACGGUUAAAGAGGGACAUGAAGUACGACGGCAGGCCCAUCGCGUACAUCUUCAUAAACAUCUCCACCGCAAACAGAGACAACAGCACCUUAUUGGUAUUGUCUGCAAAUAAGAAGAACGGAAGUCAUACAGGUUUGAAACAAGGCUCCAGGCCUAUGAUGGCGUAGAUGGUGACCAUGAAGAAGACCAGCAGAGAGAUGUGGAAUAGUGGCAGCAUGGAUUUGAGAAUGGAGCUCAUCACUACCUGCAGGCCUGGAGGAGACAUUACACGUGAACCAGCCAAC